This 1183-nucleotide unclassified non-coding RNA is filed under the name Zea mays. RNAcentral's name for it is "misc RNA Zm00001eb372430". Lineage: Eukaryota; Viridiplantae; Streptophyta; Magnoliopsida; Poales; Poaceae. The record is from RNAcentral.
GGCCAACACCUCUCUCACUUAUUCAUUCACUCUCUUGCCAACUUGAGGACAUGCUCUCUCUCUCUCUCUCUCUCUCUCUCUCUCUCUCAAACUCCCAGAAUAUCCCACUCUUACUUAGAUCCCCAUCUUUGUGAGUGAGAUUUGAGUGAGCUCUUCAUUGAAUUCGACUCUAGAGAUCAUUCAGUGUACACUGAAGACUACAUUCCUCUGUGGGUAAAUGCUGCUUGGUGCCCAUCACUUCAUGGUCACCAGAUGCUGGACAGCAGCCAGAACCAUGUUUCAGGCUGGCACUGUCCAACCGACAGCCAGGACCGUAGGCACAGCUCACUGCUCCCUUUCAAAUUCUAAAACCGCAAAGCAUCAGCAUCCAGAGUGUGAUGGCCAGCUCGCUGUUGCAUACGCUGCCAAUAUCAGCUCUCCUUGUCACACACAGAUGCAACCCAGAGGAAACAAACAUCAAUGGAUCUCCAUUAACAAGAUGUUUUAUUUGCUAUAUCUGUUGGGUACAACAUGGCAUUUGCCUAAAUGAUUUUACUAUAUGGACAGGAAAUACUUCUACAGUACAAAUGCAGUCAGAAGGGGAAAAAAUCAGGGGAAGUAGUAGAUAAACAGGAGAAACCACACUGCUCAAUCAGCCUUGGUCUGCUGUGCUUGGUUGAGCUUAACCGGGCGCGCCUCGAGACCACCUCCCUUGCGGGUCUCCAGAGUGUAAGGCAUGUAUGUUCCAAGGAUCUUGUCCCACAUGACAAAGAAGGGCUGAGAGAAGUUGUACUUGUUGCCGUAGAGCUGAUGGUGGAUGUCAUGGUAAGCGCUGUUGUUGCUGAAGAAUACAUGGAGGAUGUUCCCAGGAAGCCACAGACCACAGUGGUCGUCGACGGUCUUGAUGGUCGCGAACGAGAAGAAGAAUAUGCCAGUCCUUGGGGUCAUGCCAGAGAUGAGGAACGAGAGCGCGCCACCGAUGGUGUCCAGGAUGAGUCCCUCCAGGGGGUGGUUGUACAGAGCUCCAAAAGCGUAGGGGACGACAAGAGUGUGGUGCUUAGAGUGGACGUGCUUGUACAAGAACUUGUUGAUGUGCAUGUAUCUGUGCAUGAAAUACUGCCAUGUGUCCAUGACAAACAUUGCAACGAUAAAUUGCAACGCCAAUACCAGAGCCGGAGGUUGCUUCCUCACAGCCCCAUUCUCA